GCUUAACCUGCACAUUUAGAAAACAUAUGCAGGGCUGAGUACUAAAAAGGUACUCAAUGGUCACAUGCCGAAAUAACUUUAAAGCUUGCUCUUAGAGCUAUAUAUUGAACUUGCCAUCUCAAGCAUCACACAGGAGUUUUAUUUAAAUAACAUGUGCAUGCAAAACUGUAAAACUUUCCUGUAAUUAUCAUAAACUUCACAUGCGUCUGCAGACAUACUUCUUUGUACUCUACCAUAUCUGCAAUGAUAACUGUGUGCCGAGAAGGUGGCCACCUUCUACGGUCACUGACCGGCCGAUACGCUAAACCGGCUCACGGUCCUAGACCGGCCGAUACGCUAAACCAGCUCACGGACCUAGACCGGCCGAUACGCUAAACCGGCUCACGGUCCUAGGCCGGCCGAUAUGCUUGAUCGGCUCACGGUCCCUUGUGUACACUAAUCCUGUCUAACAUCUGGAUAGAACAUGAUCCGAAUUCGAUUAACUUCUGGUGCCAGAUAGGUAUCAUACAAGCUCAUAAAAGUUUUGGUAAGUCAAUAACUUUAAUAUAACCUUACUCAUGUAAACAUCAUUAAAUAGUGUGCACUUCACAUUUGAGUUUAGAAAGCCCACCUGAUCGUGGUCUAACGACACAAGUAACUCUGAACUAAUGCUUUACUUCUUUUCCCUUGUAUUUGACCUUCAGUAUUAAUACUGACUAAUAAAUAAUGAGGAAAAUGAUAUGGACUGAUUUAUAAAGAAUGCUUAUGUUGGUUUUAAGGUGAUAGUUCUAUUGGAACUUAUGAAAUGAUGACUGAUUGCUACCUGGUGAACUUAUUAAUAAAUACCAACAUAUUAUCUAAACCAAAACUUAAACUACGAUAAUCGUAAUUCUGGCAUUAAUCAUAACUCUACUCGCUCUAAUUUAAUAAGUAGCUAUCAACUGGAAAUAAUAUAUAUAUUGUCUAAUUUAUACAUAAACACAUAUGAUUUAUGUAUAAAUUAAUUUUAAUGAACUAAAAUAAUUCUACAUGUUUAAGCCAAUUUAAUAAAUCAAACUAAUUAUUAGCUAAUAAUCUUUCAUUUAAGCUUAAAUUAAAAUACUACUGAGUUCAAUCAAAUAAUUAAUGGCCCAACUUAACAAAUUAAUUCUAUCAUCUUAUGUACUCCCAAAGCCCAACACAAUUUAUUAUUACUAAUCCCAUUGAGAUUAAUAGGCCCAAGUACCAGCUUAAACCCAAUUACUAGUUUGAGCCCAAUUAACCAAUUUCAGAUUUAAAUAAAUAAAAAUUAAUAACCUUCUUUAAAACAUAAAACAAGUUAAUCUCUCUCUGUUUUCUAUUUCUUCCCCACGCAGACAUCUCUCCCUCUCUUCGCUCCCUCUCUCGGCCGCCUCUCUCUCCCCCCCUUCUCCGGCGAACGUCGCCGGCUCGCGCCGCUUCCGGCGCGGCGAGGCUGACGCAUCUUCUCCCCUUCCGCUUUCUUCCCUCUCCUUCCUACCCCUCUUCUUCCUCUUUCUUCCCUAUUUUCUUCUCUAAUUCUAAAAUUCCUAACUUAUAUAUAUAGGGUUUCUGUCUCUCUUUUCCCCUCUGAGAUUCGUCCCUCCGGUAAUCCCUGCCGCACCGCCGCCGUCUCCGACGCACCACCGGCCUCUCCAUCCCAGGAAUGGGUGAUUCGAGAUGGUUUCAUCGUGGCAGUUCAUCUACAGCCCAAGACUCUCUUUUUAUAAGACAGCCUUCUAUUUGGAUUAUUAUUGAUUUAUAAACUGUCGUAACCAGAUGUAUUCUGUAGAUGUUAAAGGAAAUUGAUAUUAUCUCUGCUAUUUUUUAUUACUAUCUAUGAGUGAUUACUGAGUUGUAAGAAGAAUACUACCUGCUUGUUGCUGUGAUAAUUGCUGGGGAUGAACUAUAUUUGGAUGAA
Salvia miltiorrhiza (redroot sage) is the source of this 1897-nucleotide long non-coding RNA. RefSeq lists it as uncharacterized. The record is from RefSeq and is a predicted model, not a curated record. The transcript has 2 exons. NCBI's taxonomy places the organism in Eukaryota, Viridiplantae, Streptophyta, Magnoliopsida, Lamiales, Lamiaceae.